GCGCAGGUGGCCGAGCGGCAAGGCGCCGCCGGCCUUCACUUCGCCGAGCGAAAAACUGGUGUGCAGGUCUUUCACGUGCGGCAGGUUCAACAGCGUGCCCUGCGCG
RNAcentral lists this transfer RNA (106 nucleotides) under Burkholderiales bacterium. RNAcentral's name for it is "tRNA-OTHER". The record is from RNAcentral. Lineage: Bacteria; Pseudomonadati; Pseudomonadota; Betaproteobacteria; Burkholderiales.